RNAcentral lists this long non-coding RNA (827 nucleotides) under Carassius auratus (goldfish). Its description in RNAcentral is "lncRNA (ENSCARG00000027432.1)". The record is from RNAcentral. Lineage: Eukaryota; Metazoa; Chordata; Actinopteri; Cypriniformes; Cyprinidae.
UAUUAUUUUAAAUAUGCUUGUUGUAAAACAAAUUAAUUUCAUAGCCUUGUCCUUAAAACCAGACCUUAUAUAAUAAAUAUAAAUAGACAUUAAAACAGACCAAUACAUAGACCUUAUAGAACUUUCUAAACUGUUUUAUGAAGCUACCCAGACUUCUAUUAAAAAAUCUGGAUGAUUAGUGAUAUUUUUUGCUUAAUGUGCUCAAAAUCUAUGAAUAUAUAUUUAUUUGUUCUUAAUUUGUUUCUUUCUUCUCUGCUCUCUCAUGUUUGGAACAACAAAAUUCCAUGUAUAGAUGGAUUUCUUUGAUGCUUGUUUUUUUUUUUUUUAGGAAAACUGUAAAGUGUGGACUUGUGGUCUCCCUGUGAACAGACUCCCGACCCCCAGGCAUCCUUGUUACAUCAAAGAGCCAGACCAUGCUGAGACAGGCCCUGACACACACAUGCAACACUUUGCUGUGGUCCAGGUGUUUCCAGGACCGUUUGUGGCAAACGUCUAAGAUUGAGCUUUUUGGGGAAAAUAUGCAGGAAGCCACAUGAUGCUUUUGUUUAAAGGAACUUGCGUGACAUUGAGCAGAGAGAGGAGGAGGAAGAAAAAUCCCCUUUUGGCAAGAUGCUGCUACAUGCUGAAUUUUCCCUGCUGCUAGUAAUAUCUGAAGUUCUUCCUGCCCUCAUAGUAUUGUUUCAGGGAAGAAUUUGUAUAAUUUCCUCUGGACUUCUGGUUGUCAUCAUUAAUAUAUCAUUCUUUUAUGGUGGUUUAUGGUACUGUCAUGCGCUGGGAUUAUGAGUGUGGUACCACACCAACAGCCUGUAAGAACAAUGCUAGGUGAG